This 504-nucleotide ribosomal RNA is filed under the name uncultured bacterium. RNAcentral's name for it is "partial 16S ribosomal RNA". It matches the Rfam family "Bacterial small subunit ribosomal RNA", at positions 30 to 523 of the family's 1533-position model. The record is from RNAcentral.
AUUGAACGCUGGCGGCAUGCCUUACACAUGCAAGUCGAACGGCAGCAUAGAGAGCUUGCUCUCUGAUGGCGAGUGGCGAACGGGUGAGUAAAGCAUCGGAACGUACCGUGUAGUGGGGGAUAACGUAGCGGAAGUUACGCUAAUACCGCAUACGCACUGAGGUGGAAAGCAGGGGAACGUAAGACCUUGCGCUAUACGAGCGGCCGAUGUCAGAUUAGCUAGUUGGUAGGGAAAAGGCCUAACAAGGCGACGAUCUGUAGCGGGUCUGAGAGGAUGAUCCGCCACACUGGGACUGAGACACGGCCCAGACUCCUACGGGAGGCAGCAGUGGGGAAUUUUGGACAAUGGGGGCAACCCUGAUCCAGCCAUGCCGCGUGAGUGAAGAAGGCCUUCGGGUUGUAAAGCUCUUUCGGCCGGGAAGAAAUCGCACAGGCUAAUACCCUGUGUGGAUGACGGUACCGGCAUAAGAAGCACCGGCUAACUACGUGCCAGCAGCCGCCGUAA